GUAGACGCUAUACUCUAAGAUUAACCCAUGCAUGUUUAUUGAAUAUAAAGAAAAGACGAACAGCUCAGUAACUCUUAUUUGAUUUGAUGUAUUAGGAUUAUAACUAUGUUAAAUUAUAGGUAACAAUAAUACAAUAAGAAUAAGAUCUAUCAGUUAGUUGUUAAGGUAAUGGCUUAACAAGACUAUGACGGAUAACGGUAUUACUUUGUAAUAUUCCGGAGAAGGAGCCUGAGAGAUUGCUACUAAGUCUAAGGAUUACAGCAGGGGCGAAACUUGACCUAUGAUAUUAUAUUGAGGCAGUUAUGAGUAGUAUUUUAUAAUUAUUGUAGUAAUGUAAGUACAUAUUACAAGAUAAAUCGGAGGGCAAAUCGAGUGCCAGCAGCCGCGGUAAUACUUGUUCCGAUAGUGUGUAUGAUGAUUGAUGCAGUUAAAAAGUCUGUAGUUUAUUUUAUAAUAAGCAUUGUAAGGUAUACUGUAUGGUUAGGAGAGAGAUGAAAUGUGAUAACCCUAACUGGAUGAACAGAAGCGAAAGCUGUAUACUUAAAUGUAUUAUUAGAACAAGGACGUAAGCUAGAGGAUCGAAGAUGAUUAGAUACCAUUGUAGUUCUAGCAGUAAACUAUGUUGAAUCAUAGAUAUAUUUUGAUAUAUAUUUAUGUAGAGAAAUUAAGAUUAUAUUGACUCUGGGGAUAGUAUGAUCGCAAGAUUGAAAAUUAAAGAAAUUGACGGAAGAAUACCACAAGGAGUGGAUUGUGUGGCUUAAUUUGACUCAACGCGGGGUAAUUUACCAGGUAUAACAUGGUAUAAUAUUUUAUCAUGGUAGUGGUGCAUGGCCGUUUCCAAUGGAUGCUGUGAAGUAAUGAUUAAUUUCAACAAGAUGUGAGACCCUCAUUUAGACAGAUGUAGUGAUACAUAUGAAGGAGAGGAUUAAAACAGGUCCGUUAUGCCCUAAGAUAAUCUGGGUUGCACGCGCAAUACAAUAAUAUUUGAUAUUAUAAGGGAUAAUAUAAUGUAAGAUAUAUUUGAACAUGGAAUUGCUAGUAAAUUUUAUUUAAUAAGUAGAAUUGAAUGAGUCCCUGUUCUUUGUACACACCGCCCGUCGCUAUCUAAGAUGGUAUUAUCUAUGAACAAAUUUAUAAAGUGAAUAGAUAGUACUAGAUCUGAUAU
RNAcentral lists this ribosomal RNA (1165 nucleotides) under Nosema sp. RNAcentral's name for it is "bacterial SSU rRNA". It matches the Rfam family "Microsporidia small subunit ribosomal RNA". Lineage: Eukaryota; Fungi; Microsporidia; Nosematidae. The record is from RNAcentral.